CAGAAAGUAGUUUAACAAAAACAAAGGCUUUGGGAGCCUUAGAUUUAGGCCACUAACUUUUUGA
RNAcentral lists this transfer RNA (64 nucleotides) under Rectidens sumatrensis. RNAcentral describes it as "tRNA-Pro". It matches the Rfam family "tRNA". From Rfam's summary of the family: Transfer RNA (tRNA) molecules are approximately 80 nucleotides in length. Their secondary structure includes four short double-helical elements and three loops (D, anti-codon, and T loops). Lineage: Eukaryota; Metazoa; Mollusca; Bivalvia; Unionida; Unionidae. The record is from RNAcentral.